GGCCUACGGGACGCAGCAGUGAGGAAUAUUGGUCAAUGGGAGAGAUCCUGAACCAGCCAAGCCGCGUGAGGGAAGACGGCCCUAUGGGUUGUAAACCUCUUUUGUCGGGGAACAAAACCCGGGACGUGUCCCGGACUGCGUGUAUCCGAAGAAAAAGCAUCGGCUAACUCCGUGCCAGCAGCCGCGGUAAUACGGAGGAUGCGAGCGUUAUCCGGAUUUAUUGGGUGUAAAGGGUGCGUAGACGGGAAGGCAAGUUAGUUGUGAAAUCCCUCGGCUUAACUGAGGAACUGCAACUAAAACUACAU
Molecule: ribosomal RNA, 305 nt
Filed under: uncultured bacterium
Lineage: Bacteria
Description: bacterial SSU rRNA
Rfam family: Bacterial small subunit ribosomal RNA
Source: RNAcentral